This 328-nucleotide ribosomal RNA is filed under the name uncultured bacterium. RNAcentral's name for it is "bacterial SSU rRNA". It matches the Rfam family "Bacterial small subunit ribosomal RNA", at positions 28 to 359 of the family's 1533-position model. The record is from RNAcentral.
GAUGAACGCUGGCGGCGUGCUUAACACAUGCAAGUCGAACGUGAGAGGUAGCAAUAUCUUGGAAGUGGCGAACGGGUGAGUAACACGUAGGUAACCUGCCUCGGAGUGGGGGAUAACAGUUAGAAAUGACUGCUAAUACCGCAUGAAUCCAUGGAUUAGGGAUAAUCGAUGGAGAAAACUCUGGUGCUUCGAGAGGGGCCUGCGGCCGAUUAGCUAGUUGGUGGGUAAAGGCCUACCAAAGGCGACGAUCGGUAGCUGGUCUGAGAGGACGAUCAGCCACACGGGAACUGAGACACGGUCCCGACUCCUAACGGGGGCAGCAGUGAGG